GAUGAACGCUGGCGGCGUGCCUAAUACAUGCAAGUCGAGCGAACGGACGAGAAGCUUGCUUUUCUGAUGUUAGCGGCGGACGGGGGAGUAACACGUGGAUAACCUACCUAUAAGACUGGGAUAACUUCGGGAAACCGGAGCUAAUACCGGAUAAUAUUUUGAACCGCAUGGUUCAAAAGUGAAAGACGGUCUUGCUGUCACUUAUAGAUGGAUCCGCGCUGCAUUAGCUAGUUGGUAAGGUAACGGCUUACCAAGGCAACGAUGCAUAGCCGACCUGAGAGGGUGAUCGGCCACACUGGAACUGAGACACGGUCCAGACUCCUACGGGAGGCAGCAGUAGGGAAUCUUCCGCAAUGGGCGAAAGCCUGACGGAGCAACGCCGCGUGAGUGAUGAAGGUCUUCGGAUCGUAAAACUCUGUUAUUAGGGAAGAACAUAUGUGUAAGUAACUGUGCACAUCUUGACGGUACCUAAUCAGAAAGCCACGGCUAACUACGUG
Molecule: ribosomal RNA, 497 nt
Filed under: uncultured bacterium
Lineage: Bacteria
Description: partial 16S ribosomal RNA
Rfam family: Bacterial small subunit ribosomal RNA
Source: RNAcentral